This 440-nucleotide ribosomal RNA is filed under the name uncultured bacterium. RNAcentral's name for it is "partial 16S ribosomal RNA". It matches the Rfam family "Bacterial small subunit ribosomal RNA", at positions 339 to 795 of the family's 1533-position model. The record is from RNAcentral.
CUACGGGACGCACCAGUAGGGAAUAUUGGACAAUGGGCGAAAGCCUGAUCCAGCAACACCGCGUGCACGAUGACGGCCUUCGGGUUGUAAAGUGCUUUUAGAGGAGAUGAGAAAGGACAGUAUCCUCUGAAUAAGCCUCGGCGAACUACGUGCCAGCAGCCGCGGUAAAACGUAGGAGGCAAGCGUGAUCCGGAUUUAUUGGGCGUAAAGCGCGUGCAGGCGGUGUAGCAAGUUGGAUGUGAAAGCUCCCGGCUCAACUGGGAGAGGUCGUUCAAUACUGUUAGACUAGAGAAUAGGAGAGGGAGGUGGAAUUCCGGGUGUAGUGGUGAAAUGCGUAGAUAUCCGGAGGAACACCAGUGGCGAAAGCGGCCUCCUGGACUAUUUCUGACGCUAAGACGCGAAAGCUAGGGUAGCAAACGGGAUUAGAUACCCGGGUAGUC